UGAAUACGAGACGCUAAGGCGUCGAAGUAGUGUAUGUCAUACUUCCAAGAAAAGCUGCACUGUCAUAGAUAAAAAACGCCUGUACCAUAACCGACACAGGUGGGUAGGUAGAGUAUACUAAGGGGCGCGAGAUAACUCUCUCUAAGGAACUCGGCAAAAUAACUCCGUAACUUCGGGAGAAGGAGUGCCUUAUUCGUAAGGUUGCAAUAACAAGAUCCAAGCAACUGUUUAUCAAAAACACAGGUCUCCGCUAAGUCGUUAGACGAUGUAUGGGGGCUGACGCCUGCCCAGUGCCAGAAGGUUAAAGAAGUUGGUUAGCAAUUGCGAAGCUGAUAACUGAAGCCCUGGUGAACGGCGGCCGUAACAAUAACGGUCCUAAGGUAGCGAAAUUCCUUGUCGGGUAGGUUCCGACCCGCACGAAAGGCGUAAUGAUUUGGAUACUGUCUCGGAGAGGGGCUCGGUGAAAUAGACUUGUCUGUGAAGAUGCGGACUACCUGCACCAGGACAGAAAGACCCUAUGAAGCUUCACUGUAACUUGAAAUUGAAAUUGGACUUUAUUCGCGCAGUAUAGGUGGGAGGCGUUGAUUAUAAUCUUGUGGGAUUAUUGGAGCCAUCAGUGAGAUACCACUCUUGUAAUGUUAGAUUUCUAACUUUGAAUCAUUAUCUGGUCAAAGAACAGUUUCAGGCGGGCAGUUUGACUGGGGCGGUCGCCUCCUAAACGGUAACGGAGGCGUACAAAGGUUUCCUCUGAACGGUUAGAAAUCGUAUCUAGAGUGUAAAGGCAUAAGGAAGCUUGACUGUGAGACCUACAAGUCGAGCAGGGACGAAAGUCGGUCUUAGUGAUCUGACGGUACUGAGUGGAAAGGCCGUCACUCAACGGAUAAAAGUUACUCUAGGAUAACAGGCUGAUCUCCCCCAAGAGUUCACAUCGACGGGGAGGUUUGGCACCUCGAUGUCGGCUCAUCGCAUCCUGGGGCGGUAGUACGUCCCAAGGGUUGGGCUGUUCGCCCAUGAAAGCGGUACGCGAGCUGGGUUCAGAACGUCGUGAGACAGUUCGGUCCAUAUCCGGUGUAGGCGUUAGAAUAUUGAGAGGAGCCUUCUUUAGUACGAGAGGACCGAGAAGGACAUACCUCUGGUGUACCAGUUAUCGCGCCAACGGUAAACGCUGGGUAGCUAUGUAUGGAGUGGAUAACCGCUGAAAGCAUCUAAGUGGGAAGCCCACCUCAAGAUAAG
This 1233-nucleotide ribosomal RNA is filed under the name metagenome. RNAcentral's name for it is "bacterial LSU rRNA". It matches the Rfam family "Bacterial large subunit ribosomal RNA", at positions 1564 to 2808 of the family's 2925-position model. The record is from RNAcentral.